RNAcentral lists this ribosomal RNA (1436 nucleotides) under uncultured bacterium. RNAcentral describes it as "bacterial SSU rRNA". It matches the Rfam family "Bacterial small subunit ribosomal RNA". The record is from RNAcentral.
AGAGUUUGAUCCUGGCUCAGAACGUACGCUGGCGGCACGCCUAACACAUGCAAGUCGAACGAAGUAGCAAUACUUAGUGGCAGACGAGUGAGUAACAUGUAGGUAUCUGCCCUUUGGCCUGGAAUAACACGAGGAAACUUGUGCUAAUACCGGAUAAGUCUUUACAGAGAAAGCUUUAUGCACCAUUGGAUGAGCCUGCACUUGAUUAGUUUGUUGGUGGGGUAAUGGCCUACCAAGACUGUGAUCAAUAGCUGAUUUGAGAGGAUGAUCAGCCACAUUGGGACUGAGACACGGCCCAAACUCCUACGGGAGGCAGCAGUGGGGAAUCUUGCACAAUGGAGGAAACUCUGAUGCAGCGAUGCCGCGUGAGUGAAGAAGGCCCUUGGGUUGUAAAGCUCUUUCGUCGGGGAAGAAAAUGACUGUACCCGAAUAAGAAGGUCCGGCUAACUUCGUGCCAGCAGCCGCGGUAAUACGAAGGGACCUAGCGUAGUUCGGAAUUACUGGGCUUAAAGAGUUCGUAGGUGGUUGAAAAAGUUGGUGGUGAAAUCCCAGAGCUUAACUCUGGAACUGCCAUCAAAACUUUUCAGCUAGAGUAUGAUAGAGGAAAGCAGAAUUUCUAGUGUAGAGGUGAAAUUCGUAGAUAUUAGAAAGAAUACCAAUUGCGAAGGCAGCUUUCUGGAUCAUUACUGACACUGAGGAACGAAAGCAUGGGUAGCGAAGAGGAUUAGAUACCCUCGUAGUCCAUGCCGUAAACGAUGUGUGUUAGACGUUGGAAAUUUAUUUUCAGUGUCGCAGCGAAAGUGAUAAACACACCGCCUGGGGAGUACGACCGCAAGGUUAAAACUCAAAUGAAUUGACGGGGACCCGCACAAGUAGUGGAGCAUGUGGUUUAAUUCGAAGAUACGCGCAGAACCUUACCAACACUUGACAUGUUCGUCGCGACUUUAAGAGAUUAAAGUUUUCGGUUCGGCCGGACGAAACACAGGUGCUGCAUGGCUGUCGUCAGCUCGUGUCGUGAGAUGUUGGGUUAAGUCCCGCAACGAGCGCAACCCUCACUUUUAGUUGCCAUCAUUAAGUUGGGCACUCUGAAAGAACUGCCAGUGAUAAGCUGGAGGAAGGUGGGGAUGACGUCAAGUCCUCAUGGCCCUUACGUGUUGGGCUACACACGUGCUACAAUGGUAUCUACAACAGGAAGCAAGACCGCGAAGUUAAGCAAAUCCUUAAAAGAUACCUCAGUUCGGAUUGCACUCUGCAACUCGAGUGCAUGAAGCUGGAAUUACUAGUAAUCGUGGAUCAGCGUGCCACGGUGAAUGCGUUCCCGGGUCUUGUACACACCGCCCGUCACACCAUGGGAGUUGGUUCUACCUUAAGGCAAGGUUUAAAAUCCUUGACCACGGUAUAGUCAGCGACUGGGGUGAAGUCGUAACAAGGUAACC